AUCCAGAUGAUGAUUCUCAAAUAGGAAGAAACACACGUCCUGGAU
RNAcentral lists this non-coding RNA (45 nucleotides) under Schistosoma mansoni. Lineage: Eukaryota; Metazoa; Platyhelminthes; Trematoda; Strigeidida; Schistosomatidae. The record is from RNAcentral.